UACGAAGGGGGCUAGCGUUGUUCGGAUUUACUGGGCGUAAAGGGUACGCAGGCGGCAUGUCAAGUUGGGGGUGAAAUCCCGGGGCUCAACCCCGGAACUGCCUCCAAAACUGGCAAGCUAGAGAUCGAGAGAGGUGAGUGGAAUUCCUAGUGUAGAGGUGAAAUUCGUAGAUAUUAGCAGGAACACCGGUGGCGAAGGCGGCUCACUGGCUCGAUACUGACGCUCAUGUACGAAAGCGUGGGGAGCAAACAGG
This 253-nucleotide ribosomal RNA is filed under the name uncultured bacterium. Its description in RNAcentral is "partial 16S ribosomal RNA". It matches the Rfam family "Bacterial small subunit ribosomal RNA", at positions 524 to 776 of the family's 1533-position model. The record is from RNAcentral.